GAGCGCACGGUCUCCGCACCGGCGCCGCCNCUUCAAGUGUCUGCCUUAUCAGCUUCGAUUGUAGGCUAUGCGCCUACAAUGGCUAUAACGGGUAACGGGGAAGUCAGGGUUCGAUUCCGGAGAGGGAGCCUGAGAAACGGCUACCACAUCUAAGGAAGGCAGCAGGCACGCAAAUUACCCACUCCCGGCACGGGGAGGUAGUGACGAAAAAUAACGAUGCGAGACUCAUCCGAGGCCUCGCAAUCGGAAUGAGUACACUUUAAAUCCUUUAACGAGGAUCUAUUGGAGGGCAAGUCUGGUGCCAGCAGCCGCGGUAAUUCCAGCUCCAAUAGCGUAUAUUAAAGUUGUUGCGGUUAAAAAGCUCGUAGUUGGAUUUCAGUUCUGGACUGACGGUUCACCGCCGGUGCACACUGUCACGCUCCGAACAGCCACACAGCCCGCUGGCUCGCGACGGGGU
This 457-nucleotide ribosomal RNA is filed under the name Pasiphaea multidentata. RNAcentral describes it as "SSU rRNA". It matches the Rfam family "Eukaryotic small subunit ribosomal RNA", at positions 267 to 722 of the family's 1831-position model. Lineage: Eukaryota; Metazoa; Arthropoda; Malacostraca; Decapoda; Pasiphaeidae. The record is from RNAcentral.